UGGGGAAUAUUGCACAAUGGGCGAAAGCCUGAUGCAGCAACGCCGCGUGAGUGAUGAAGGCCUUCGGGUUGUAAAGCUCUGUCUUUUGGGACGAUAAUGACGGUACCAAAGGAGGAAGCCACGGCUAACUACGUGCCAACAGCCGCGGUAAUACGUAGGUGGCAAGCGUUGUCCGGAUUUACUGGGCGUAAAGGAUGCGUAGGCGGAUUUUUAAGUGAGAUGUGAAAACCCUAAGCUUAACUUGGGGACUGCAUUUCAUACUGGAAAUCUAGAGUGCGGGAGAGGAGAAUGGAAUUCCUAGUGUAGCGGUGAAAUGCGUAGAGAUUAGGAAGAACACCAGUGGCGAAGGCGAUUCUCUGGACCGUAACUGACGCUGAGGCAUGAAAGCGUGGGUAGCAAACAGGAUUAGAUACCCUGGUAGUCCACGCCGUAAACGAUGAGUACUAGGUGUAGGAGGUAUCGACCCCUUCUGUGCCGCAGUUAACACAAUAAGUACUCCGCCUGGGAAGUACGAUCGCAAGAUUAAAACUCAAAGGAAUUGACGGGGUCAUAGCUGUUUUCCU
This 563-nucleotide ribosomal RNA is filed under the name uncultured bacterium. RNAcentral describes it as "partial 16S ribosomal RNA". It matches the Rfam family "Bacterial small subunit ribosomal RNA", at positions 355 to 1375 of the family's 1533-position model. The record is from RNAcentral.